RNAcentral lists this ribosomal RNA (270 nucleotides) under uncultured bacterium. RNAcentral's name for it is "partial 16S ribosomal RNA". It matches the Rfam family "Bacterial small subunit ribosomal RNA", at positions 501 to 770 of the family's 1533-position model. The record is from RNAcentral.
CUACGUGCCAGCAGCCGCGGUAAUACGUAGGUGGCAAGCGUUGUCCGGAUUUAUUGGGCGUAAAGCGAGCGCAGGCGGAAGAAUAAGUCUGAUGUGAAAGCCCUCGGCUUAACCGAGGAACUGCAUCGGAAACUGUUUUUCUUGAGUGCAGAAGAGGAGAGUGGAACUCCAUGUGUAGCGGUGGAAUGCGUAGAUAUAUGGAAGAACACCAGUGGCGAAGGCGGCUCUCUGGUCUGCAACUGACGCUGAGGCUCGAAAGCAUGGGUAGCG